UAAAGAAAGUAAGAAAGGGCGUAUGGCGGAUGCCUAGGCUCACGGAGGCGAUGAAGGACGUGAUAAGCUGCGAUAAGCUUCGGGUAGGUGCAAAUAACCCUUGAUCCGGAGAUUUCCGAAUGGGACAACCUAGCCGUCUGAAGGACGGUUACUAGCACUUAAGUGUUAGAGCUAACGCAGGGAACUGAAACAUCUUAGUACCUGCAGGAAGAGAAAAUAAAUGAAUGAUUCCCCCAGUAGUGGCGAGCGAACGGGGAACAGCCCAAACCAGUGGCGUCGCAAGGCGUGGCUGGGGUUGUAGGACCGCAACAUUGUAUGCAAAUCGUGAACAGAACACUUUGGAAAAUGUGACCAUAGACGGUGAUAGUCCAGUAUGUGAAGCGAAAUGCAGCAUAGCGGUAUCCUGAGUAACGCGGGACACGAGGAAUCCUGCGCGAAUCUGCCGGGACCAUCCGGUAAGGCUAAAUACUCCCGUGAGACCGAUAGCGAACGAGUACUGUGAAGGAAAGGUGAAAAGAACCCCGAGUAGGGGAGUGAAAUAGUUCCUGAAACCAUACGCCUACAAGCGGUCGGAGCAUCUUACGAUGUGACGGCGUGCCUUUUGCAUAAUGAUCCUACGAGUUACCGUCACUGGCGAGGUUGAGUGUCAUGAGACACGUAGCCGCAGUGAAAGCGAGCCUGAACAGGGCGCACAGUCAGUGGGGGUAGACGCGAAACCAAGUGAUCUACACUUGGCCAGGAUGAAGUCCCGGUAACACGGGAUGGAGGUCCGCACCAAUAAGCGUUGAAAAGCUUCUGGAUGAGCCGAGUGUAGGAGUGAAAGGCCAAUCAAACUUGGAGAUAGCUCGUACUCCCCGAAAGGCAUUUAGGUGCCGCGUCGGAUGGUCACCGUGAGAGGUAGAGCGACCGAUAGGACAAGAGGGCUUCACCGCCUAUCGAGUCCUGACGAACUCCGAAUGUUCACGGUUUGCAGUCCGGCAGUAAGGGGGCGGGUGCUAAGGUCCGUCCCCGAGAGGAGAAGAAUCCAGACCGCCGUCUAAGGUCCCGGAGUUCUGCCUGAGUUAGUCUAACGAAGUCUGGUCCCUAUGACAGCUAGGAUGUUGGCUUGGAAGCAGCCAUUCAUUCAAAGAGUGCGUAACAGCUCACUAGUCGAGGGUCCGGGCAUGGAUAAUAAUCGGGUAUAAGGCAGACACCGAAGGCGCGGGAUAGCAAUUAUAAAAGUAUCGGUAGGGAGCAUACUCACAGCGUCGAAUGGUGUACGUAAGUUAUCCUGGAGCGGUGAGUAAAGCAAAUGUAGGAAUAAGUAACGAUAAGGAGGGUUAGAUUCCCUCCCGCUGUAAGACCAAGGUUUCCCGGGCAAUGCCAAUCAGCCCGGGGUCAGUCGGGUCCUAAGUCUAAGCCGAACGGCGAUGGCGAUGGCAGAGACGGUUAAUAUUCCGUCACUGCCGCAUGGGGCGAUGUGGAGACGGAGCAGUGAAACCACCGCGGGCGACGGAAGUCCCCGUUGAAGAGUGUAGGUGUUGAGGAUGGCAGGCAAAUCCACCAUCCGAGCUGAACUUGACAGUACGGAGUCCUCCUCGGAGGAAUCUGAUAGUGUGGGUAAACAUACUCCCGAGAAAAUCCGCUAAGCUUAACCCAUGCGGCACCCGUACCGCAAACGGACACACGUGGUCGGGUAGAACAUACUAAGGCGUUGAGAGAUUCAUGGUUAAGGAACUAGGCAAAUUGACCCUGUAACUUCGGGAUAAAGGGUCCUCGUGAUGAGCGAGGCGCAGAGAAUAGGUCCAGGCAACUGUUUAACAAAAACACAGGGCUGUGCAAACUCGAAAGAUGACGUAUACAGCCUGACACCUGCCCGGUGCCGGAAGGUUAAGAGGAGAUGUCACUAGCAAUAGGAAGCAUUGAAUUGAAGCCCCGGUAAACGGCGGCCGUAACUAUAACGGUCCUAAGGUAGCGAAAUUCCUUGUCGGGUAAGUUCCGACCUGCACGAAUGGUGUAAUGAUCCGGACGCUGUCUCAACCAUGAGCUCAGUGAAAUUGUAGUAUCGGUGAAGAUGCCGAUUACCCGCGAUGGGACGAAAAGACCCCGUGAACCUUUACUACAGCUUAGCAUUGACCUUGGUCAUCCGAUGUGUAGGAUAGGCCGGAGGCUUCGAAGCGGGAGCGCCAGCUUUCGUGGAGCCAUCCUUGAAAUACGGCCCUUUGGCUGUCUGAGGUCUAACGCGCGAUGCGCGGACACUGCUUGGUGGGUAGUUUGACUGGGGUGGUCGCCUCCAAAAGCGUAACGGAGGCUUCCAAAGGUGCCCUCGGGUCGAUUGGUAACCGACCUCAAAGAGUGCAAUGGCAUAAGGGCGCUUGACUGGGAGGCAGACAUGCCGAGCAGGCAGGAAACUGGGGCAUAGUGAUCCGGCGGAUGUGUAUGGAAACUCCGUCGCUCAAAGGAUAAAAGGUACUCCGGGGAUAACAGGCUGAUCCCCCCCAAGAGCUCAUAUCGACGGGGUGGUUUGGCACCUCGAUGUCGGCUCGUCACAUCCUGGGGCUGGAGAAGGUCCCAAGGGUUGGGCUGUUCGCCCAUUAAAGUGGCACGCGAGCUGGGUUCAGAACGUCGUGAGACAGUUCGGUCUCUAUCUAUCGUGGGCGUGGGAGUUUUGAGUGGUGCCGUCACUAGUACGAGAGGACCGUGAUGGACAGACCUCCGGUUUACCAGUUGUGCCGCCAGGCGCACCGCUGGGUAUCUGAGUCUGGAUUGGAUAAGCGCUGAAAGCAUCUAAGUGCGAAGCCAGCCGCAAGAUGAGAACUCCAUUGAGGGUCGUCAGAGACGAUGACGUUGAUAGGAUGCAGGUGUAAAGACAGCGAUGUCAAAGCCGAGCAUUACUAAUUGCCCGAACACUUUCUUUA
This 2897-nucleotide ribosomal RNA is filed under the name Segatella copri. RNAcentral describes it as "23S ribosomal RNA". It matches the Rfam family "Bacterial large subunit ribosomal RNA". Lineage: Bacteria; Pseudomonadati; Bacteroidota; Bacteroidia; Bacteroidales; Prevotellaceae. The record is from RNAcentral.